UACAUGCGUGUACGAUGGCUAGGCGGCGACGCAGUAGGAUUCUUAUGCUCCAAGACAAGAUGGGAAUUAGAUCUUAGACGAAAGUCAUAUCAGCCAUAUGGCUAUUGCAUUCUUUCAGAACCUAUAUUGCGAGGGGGCGUCUAAUAUGCCUGUUUUCACAAUUCAGGGUAGGUUCCCUGCUCUCAGUUCUGACACUGUCGUUGUCCUAAGUAGGCCAGUCACCAGGGAGGAGAUCCGGGUGGCUCUUUUUGACAUAAAACCCCUCAAAGCGCCUGGGCUGGGCUAGACG
This 289-nucleotide long non-coding RNA is filed under the name Carica papaya (papaya). RNAcentral's name for it is "long non-coding RNA (CPAP_LNC006038)". The record is from RNAcentral. Lineage: Eukaryota; Viridiplantae; Streptophyta; Magnoliopsida; Brassicales; Caricaceae.